GGAUCCCAUCAGAAAUCCACAGUUAAGCAUGCUUGGGCGAGAGUAUUACUAGGAUGGGU
This 59-nucleotide ribosomal RNA is filed under the name Beta vulgaris subsp. maritima. Lineage: Eukaryota; Viridiplantae; Streptophyta; Magnoliopsida; Caryophyllales; Amaranthaceae. The record is from RNAcentral.